Molecule: non-coding RNA, 107 nt
Organism: Citrus sinensis (sweet orange)
Lineage: Eukaryota; Viridiplantae; Streptophyta; Magnoliopsida; Sapindales; Rutaceae
Source: Rfam
AUACCAUGAUGAGAACACCUUCUAAGCAGUUCUUUAAAUCUCUCUCAAGCCUCAUACAAACUCUCGUCUUCCAGUUGAUGAAAGAAAGUGAUCUUAUUCCUCAAUUU